Cherax quadricarinatus is the source of this 1672-nucleotide non-coding RNA. NCBI's taxonomy places the organism in Eukaryota, Metazoa, Arthropoda, Malacostraca, Decapoda, Parastacidae. The record is from RefSeq and is a predicted model, not a curated record.
CUUCAGUGGUCGUACAGGAGAGACGUGUUGAUCCUCCUGCCGCCCCGCCGGCUUUACCGCUUCCUCAUCCUUUUAAUACGCUUAAAAAACGUGUGGUAACUGUGGAGUGCUGUGUCUGGCUGUGUCUGCUGCAACAUUGAUCAACACAGCAACAUUGACCAGUCUGAGGGGUGCUGUGCCUGGCUGUGUCUGCUGCAACAUUGAUCAACACAGCAACAUUGACCAGUCUGAGGGUUGGAGACAACCACACUAGCAAAUGAUCUGACCCAUAACAGUUAGUGUUAUAUGGAGAUGCAGCAGUUGGAGGCGUCGUUAGAGGUGGGCAGGGCCCACUUGUAAGGUAUUUCCAGGUGUGGUAACUGAGGAGUGCUGUGCCUGCUGCAACAUUGAUCAACACAGCAAAAUGGACCAGUAAGGAGUGCUGUGCCAGUCUGCUGCAACAUUAACCAGUCUGAGGGGUGAAGACAACCACUAGUAAAUGGUCUGUUAUAUGGAGAUGCAGCAGUUAGAGACGUCGUUAGAGGUUGUGGGUAGCUGCAAGUGUUCAGAGAUGUCAUCACCAGCAGCAACACACCAAAACAAUGUCUGCGAAGAUAAAAGAUGGACAUUAGUGGAUUAUUCACGAACUGCAGAAAGUGUCACGCUUUCGGCAUCAAUCUACAUGGUGGCAGUUGACCAAGAGGACACAUGCUUUACUCUGACAGGAAACCACAUGGCUGUGUCUGAAUCACGUGGCGGGGCUUCACUGUUCAUGUCUACAGAAAUAUCUGUAAAAUGUGAUUGUGGUGAUUCAUCACCUUUACUAUCUUGAUUUGCAAUCUGCAGAAACGAGUAGAUGGAACCCUGGACCACCCAACGGAGAAGGGCAGGUUGAGCUGGAGCUGGAGGUAUCAAGAUUCCCUAGUGUGUGUGUGUUUUAGUGGCAGUCACAUCAAGUGUCAUGCCUAGGUGUGGUAACUGAGGAGUGCUGUGUCUGGUGCAACAUUGAUCAACACUGCAACUUUGACCAGUCUGAGGAGUGCUGUGCCUGGCUGUGUCUGGUGCAACAUUGAUCAACACAGCAACUUUGACCAGUCUGAGGAGUGCUGUGCCUGGCUGUGUCUGCUGCAACAUUGAUCAACACAGCAACAUUGACCAGUCUGAGGGGUGGAGACAACCACACUAGUAAAUGAUCUGACCCAUAACAUUUAGUGUUAUAUGGAGAUGAAGCAGUUGGAGACGUCGUUAGAGGUGGGCAGGGCCCACUUGUAAGAGCUGUGUAUCCGAGUGCCUGAGGUCACGUGGAUCACGAAGCCAUGUGGGGUGUGGACGAAGUCACGCGGGUUACCCAAGCCACAUGCCUCCCCUGACGUCAUCUCGCGAUGACAUCCCUCAUGACGUCACCAUGCUGCCUGACAUCACGUCACAUGGAGUGUUAUAGUUUCACAGUGAGCAAAUUAUUUCAGUAUUGCCGAAAAGAUUGAGAGACAAUACUUGUCAUGUGUUAAUUCCUCUGUGUUCUCACGUUUUCGUGUAUGGCUUAGUGUCGAUUUUUGCACAGAAAAGCGUCAUUUGCUCAAGCCAUGUUGUACCUCGUGUGUAGUGCAGGUGUGUCUCCCUGAUUAAGUGGUUUGUGGCCAGCUGUGUGUGUAGGCCACAGCACUGUGUAGCAUAUCGUGUUACUUGUCACCCA